Long non-coding RNA from Astatotilapia calliptera (eastern happy), 537 nucleotides. The record is from Ensembl. NCBI's taxonomy places the organism in Eukaryota, Metazoa, Chordata, Actinopteri, Cichliformes, Cichlidae.
GCAGACAGAGGACAACCUCCAGAGUUUAAAAGUGAAGCCAACACUGAAGUGACAAAAACUGCAGUUCCUUUUCUGGCCUUUUGAAAAAAAAAGAUUGAAUUUCCAUAGUCUAAUGUUAAAAGUGCAACAUCAUACCAUUAAAAAGCAUGUUUACAGCCUAAUAAAAACACUUCCGCCUCUAUGGAAAGUUUUCCCUUUCAAAACAACUCAGAGUUGCUAAUCGACUUAUGGGUGUGCCUUGCUGUUUGACAGGUCUCCUGACUCACUGGCAAGUGAGCUGAUCGGCCUCAUUCACUGGAUUGCUGCUGGAGCCUUUUGGAGCGUGUUAACGGAUUAUCUCGCUGGUGUUACGGCUCACUAUGGGGAGCAGACCAUCCCGGGAGAUUGUACUUUACUUUUGGUUUCUCGUCACCUAAAUGGCUCGCAAAGAUGAAGCUGCAGUGGAAAAUAGGCUGUUCGGCACCCGUGCAGACCACGGUUUAUCCCUCUCCUUUGUUUACCGCCACGGACAGCGGUCCUGGUGCACGAAGUCCUCCC